RNAcentral lists this long non-coding RNA (864 nucleotides) under Ananas comosus (pineapple). RNAcentral's name for it is "long non-coding RNA (ACOM_LNC021349)". Lineage: Eukaryota; Viridiplantae; Streptophyta; Magnoliopsida; Poales; Bromeliaceae. The record is from RNAcentral.
AUUUAUUAUAAAUUUUACUAUAACAUUUAAAUAUAAAUAAUAUGUAUUAAUAUAGUACAAUUAAUAAUUUUAUAAUAAAAAUAAUGUAUUAUAAAAUAUAACAUAUUAUAUUUAUAUAAUUUAGUUUUAAUUAAAUUUAUAAUUUUAAUUAAGUUUGAAAUUAAGCAUUGGAAUAGUGUUAUUCCACCAAAAUGGUGGAAUAGCAAAUCCCUUGCUAUUCCAGAAUAACCGGGAAUAGCAAGGUUUGAUCGGGAUAAAAUAUCCCGGCCAAAUUUCAUCCCGUUUGGCGGAAUAACGGGGAUAACUUUUGUUAUCCCCGCUUAUCCCCCAACCAAACGGGGCUGCACAAGUAGAUUUGGGCAACUUGGUGCUUGUUUUGUAUUUUGGAGACAGUGUUGAAAGUUUUUCUUUUUUCUUUUUUCUUUCUUUGGUGGGGUUAACUUGUUUAGAGAUAUAAACACAAGAAAGAAAUAAUGGGGUGAAUAUUGAGUUGGGAUUGUAAGACGUUGUUGAUGUUAAUUUUAAAGGUUUACGAUAUAUAUCGUGUAGAACGCAGCGGAAGUAUUCAUUCGUACCUUUUUGCGGAAGCGAUUCGCGCUAGAACGUGACGAGCCCGGAUCGUAGAGGUUGAUUCACGUAUCCUCGUAUCGUUCCUGAAAAUUUUCUAUCGCUCCAAAUUCGCGGUGGAUCGAACUACAAACGAGCACGAUCUCGAAUCCACCGUUUAAGACCCUCUAGAAUAAUAGAUUAAUGGAGAAUGUGGUUUCUACGUUUCUCUCUUUUGUUUUCUUAUUCUCUUUCUUAUUUUUCUUCUUUUUUUUUAUGUGAGAUCGCCUGCAUAUUUAUAAGGAAUUCCAAAAACCU